This 139-nucleotide small nucleolar RNA is filed under the name Oryza meridionalis. RNAcentral's name for it is "Small nucleolar RNA Z247". It matches the Rfam family "Small nucleolar RNA Z247". Rfam says of the family: Z247 is a member of the C/D class of snoRNA which contain the C (UGAUGA) and D (CUGA) box motifs. Most of the members of the box C/D family function in directing site-specific 2'-O-methylation of substrate RNAs. Lineage: Eukaryota; Viridiplantae; Streptophyta; Magnoliopsida; Poales; Poaceae. The record is from Rfam by way of RNAcentral.
AAGCUGGAGGAUGAUGAUCUGGCCUCAUACAUCUUAUUGGGGCUGGACAUCGAAUACAACCCAUGUGUGUCGGCUAUUGCCACCAGGGUUGAACCGAUCUCGCUGGGAGAAUUGUAUACCUAGCUGGUCGGGUUUGAGC